RNAcentral lists this long non-coding RNA (480 nucleotides) under Phoenix dactylifera (date palm). Its description in RNAcentral is "long non-coding RNA (PDAC_LNC007907)". Lineage: Eukaryota; Viridiplantae; Streptophyta; Magnoliopsida; Arecales; Arecaceae. The record is from RNAcentral.
UAGGAAAUCAUAGCAGGCAUUGUGUGGCACGAUGACAUCUUACUCGGCCAAAGAUGAUUAAAACAUUUCAAAAGGCUUUCGGUCAUGAUCCAAUAAGGGCUUUUAUAUUCUGAUUAUGAUGUUACAGUGGUCACUAGAUUUUAAGACACCCCUUUUAUAUUACUAACACAUUCAAUGGCUCAUAAAAUACUGGCCAUUAUAUAUGUUAACCAUUAUAAAAGUGUCAUGUAACAACCAAAAUGUCCAUCCUUUGACAUUCACAAAUUAAAGUUCUACUAUAAAAGCUUCUUUUAUGCAUCUUUAUAAAUUAUUAUGUUUGAUCUUCAUGAUUGUAUUAUUAAAUGCAUGUUAUUAAAUGCAAAAAAUACUAUUUAACUGUGAAAUGCUUAUAAGAUUGAUUUUUUUUUUCUCCUUUUUCUGUGGUUAUAAGCUUAUAUGCUGUCAUAGUGGCUAAGAUUUUUCACUAUAUAGCACUAAAGU